CAGAUGCUGAGAUUAAGAAAGGUAAAGCGACUUGCCUGCAGUCACUAGUAAGUGGUGAAAUCAGACUGAAACCCAGAUGUCUGUUAACAGUCUACCUCUGCUGCUGAAGGAAGAGCAUUUAGGGUGAAAAGAGAAAAGGAUCAAGGCGAACUCUAGGAGUACCAGCAUUUGGGAAGCCAUCAGAGGAAAGAAGGCUAAGAAGAAACAAUAAGAGAAGAAUCAGCAAAGAGUAAUAUCAUGGAAGAAAUCCAAGGGAGGAAAGACUUUCAAGGACAAAGAAGUGGUCAACAGCAUUGAAUGCAGCAAAGAUUUCCAAUAAGUUCAAGGCAAAAAACUAUCCUUUGAAUUUGGCAACACUGAAGGCCUGGAUCCCCAUGAUAUGAUCUGUGUCAGCAGAAAAUGAGGGCAGAAGCCACAAUGCAAUGAAUUGAACAAAUGAAAAUGAGGAAGUAGAAUAAGUAAGUACAGACUCCCCCUUUUGAGAAAUUUGGAAGAAGGAAUAGACAGCAGCUGAAAAGUUAUAUGUGAAGUUAAAGAUUCUGGUUUUGUCUUUUGAAAAUGGUAGAGACUUGAACAUGGGUAUAAAUUACAAAAAAAGAUACCGGUAGAGAAAAUGAAUUUGAAAA
Hyaena hyaena (striped hyena) is the source of this 626-nucleotide long non-coding RNA. RefSeq lists it as uncharacterized. The record is from RefSeq and is a predicted model, not a curated record. Lineage: Eukaryota; Metazoa; Chordata; Mammalia; Carnivora; Hyaenidae. The transcript has 2 exons.